GACGAACGCUGGCGGCGUGCUUAACACAUGCAAGUCGAGCGGUAAGGCCCUUUCGGGGGUACACGAGCGGCGAACGGGUGAGUAACACGUGGGUGACCUGCCCUCAGCUCUGGGAUAAGCCUGGGAAACCGGGUCUAAUACUGGAUAUGACUCCAUGACGCAUGUUGUGGGGUGGAAAGCCUUGUGCGGCUGAGGAUGGGCCCGCGGCCUAUCAGCUUGUUGGUGGGGGUGAUGGCCUACCAAGGCGACGACGGGUAGCCGGCCUGAGAGGGCGACCGGCCACACUGGGACUGAGACACGGCCCAGACUCCUACGGGAGGCAGCAGUGGGGAAUCUUGCGCAAUGGGCGAAAGCCUGACGCAGCGACGCCGCGUGAGGGAUGACGGCCUGG
RNAcentral lists this ribosomal RNA (391 nucleotides) under uncultured bacterium. RNAcentral describes it as "bacterial SSU rRNA". It matches the Rfam family "Bacterial small subunit ribosomal RNA", at positions 28 to 419 of the family's 1533-position model. The record is from RNAcentral.